CACAUCAAGCGGUGAACCUGUUAAAUCCAACUGUCAAUACUUUACUUGAUGGUGCACUGGUUAACGGGGACAAUGUAGAACCAAUUUUUUUGAAUGUAUGGCCUGCUUCUGAUGAUGAAAUAGAGAGUAUUCAAGACCCAUUCUUGAGAGCUCUCGUAUCUUUGCUUUUAGAUCUGUUUAUUAAUGAUAACGUACGGACAGAUGACAAGGCUGCGUAUCUUCACUAUUCCUAAUGUCUCAACGAUAAGCUUUUCUUUGGAACGACAAUCAAUACUAGAUGUUUAUGGAUUCUCCUUUUUCUUAUAAGUGUUAUUAUCCGAAGAUUGCGGAAAUUGCUCGCUGAAUCUGAUGAAGAUGCUUCACAGAUGACAAUCAAGGAAAACCAAGUACAAAAUAUCAUUCAGGGUUGGAUUUAAAGAACCCUAUCAUUGCCACCUUUAAUUGUUUCUCCAACAGAUCAGAACACAGAACAAUGGGUUCAACUGGUUAUAUCUUGUUAUGCUACAAAAUUCUUAUGAGUAAGUUCUCUGGAGCUGGCCACGCAGAAAGAUGUUAAGCAUUUGGAGAAGACACUAGUAAUAGAUUUAUUUAGAAAACAUAGAAGUGGCGGUGGCGCACUGCGUCCUGCUACCCGGUCAUCAUCAGUACAGAUAACCCUAGAAAAGCUGACUUCAGUUUGUGUUGGAUACUGUUGGAAGGAUCUCAAUGAUGAAGAUUGGGAGGUUGUAUUGUCACAGUUGCGAAGAUACUGACUCUGCUGUAUUAUGGAGGACGUUGUGGAGUCUGUCAAUGACAUAUUGUCAUUCAGUAUUCUGCUAUAAAAUAAUUUAUCAAAACGAAGCUGGAGGAAGUUGUUUGUUCGCUAGACCCAUCUCCUAUUAAAAAUUAUAGGAGUGCCCUUUUCACGUUUAACCUGUUUUACGGGCUUCUUGAACAGCAAGAAGGGGAUCCCGGUGGUUCUAGUUCAGUGAAAGCAUGAAUGGAGAUAUAUUAAAGAUAAGAUACUUGAAAGUGUUCUCUUAUUCUUUGCCACAGUUGUAAGUGAAUCCAUCAAAAGGUUCUUACUCCUGUUCAGAUGGCUCGUCUAUUAUACCGUCAUCCCCCCCUUGUGUACACUCAUUUCUGGGAGUUAGUUCAUCGUCCAUUUGAUCAGCUCUCCUCAACAUGGUAAACUUACAGCCGUACAAUCAAUAGAAAUGUGGGAUGAAGGAUACGUCGGUUCUUUGUAUGCAAAUGCAAUCUUCUUUUCUGCCAGGCGUAUUCAUUCAGUGCAAGUUACUGCAUAUAUAAUGCUUUCGACGGAUCCAGUUUCACAUCCAGCUAUCACAGAAGAAGAUGUAUGCAGCGCUUCAGGGGAUGUAUCUACUAGUCAGGAGUAUGUCCAGUCUCCUAAUCCCAGUUUGUCCUCGGAUGAAAAUAUCCCCGUGAGAGAUUAUAUUUCUUGCAUGAUUAUAAGAUCCCCAUCUACGCUUAUUGAGGGGGAUUUAAUCUCGCUUAUCGGGUGAAUGUCUUUACUGCUUGGGCUCUGUUGCUUUCUCAUCUCCAAUCUUUGGUAUCAGCAUGACCAGCAAGGCAGAAAGUCGUUCAGUGGGUACCAAAUUUCAUAGAUACACGAAUAUUGGAUUGUCAAUUCGAGCACAUUCCAUCACAGUCUGGUGCAGUGCAUAGCUCCAAGAAGGAAGAUGUUGAGCUUCCAGCUGGUGUUUCCGGGGCGGCUGCUGCAGCAAAAUGUGCCAUCACGACAGGUUCUUUACUAUUUUCUAUCGAAUCACUUUGGCCUGUUGGAUCGUCGUGUUGAGCUUAAUCGUGCAUAGCAACCACUCUAACUAUUGACCCUUGGAAGGUUGAAGUUGUUCUGGCCGAGCUUCGGUUGUCCGUAGCCACUGGUGACUGUAGUUGGUCAUGACAUCAACUCCGGCGACAAUAGUAGUAUAGUACUAUUGCAACUCUUUAUCUAUGCCAUAGUUUUGCAAAGCUAGCUGGUGAGUAUGAUUGGUGUACCCUCCAAAAAAAGGUUGGGAGUUGGGUUGAAUGAUUGGUAAGAUUUGUGACGCCACACCGGAAUCAGAAUCGUUAUUAUACACUUGAGUUGUCUGAGUUGGCUGCUGAGAUUCUUUGUGGUUUACUUGAAACCAGUUGGUGUAGCGCAGUCUGACAGAGAUUCCGUGUGGUUUCCAUGAAACCAGUUGGUGUAGCGCAGUCUGACGGAGAUUCCGUGUGGUUUGCAUGAAACCAGUUGGUGUAGCGCAGUCUGACUGGGGUGCUGGAGUUUGAGUAGUGAACAAGUCAAAUAUGCUACUCUAGAUGCAUGUGGCUGCAAUAACUGGGUAUAUAUUGUGUCUGAUGUGCUAGCUCAGAAAAGAAUAUGAGUCGUACUAUUGAAGCUUUCCAAAACCAUUUCUUUUAUUAAAUUUCCCAAGUUUUAUAAGCAGUGCUAUUGUUAUGAAUUGGUAUAUUUCAAGAUCACUUGUGGGUUCACAAUUGUGUAUGCAAUUCUCUGUCAAAACCUUAGCCUGUGGAUAGUGACAUUCAUAGGUUCCCAAUAUCUAAGCUGUAGAAAGCUAUUGUAAAUAUUCUGAAUUGU
Molecule: long non-coding RNA, 2584 nt
Organism: Papaver somniferum (opium poppy)
Lineage: Eukaryota; Viridiplantae; Streptophyta; Magnoliopsida; Ranunculales; Papaveraceae
Exons: 4
Source: RefSeq, a predicted model, not a curated record